This 322-nucleotide ribosomal RNA is filed under the name uncultured eukaryote. RNAcentral describes it as "partial 18S ribosomal RNA". It matches the Rfam family "Eukaryotic small subunit ribosomal RNA", at positions 1470 to 1796 of the family's 1831-position model. The record is from RNAcentral.
CCCUUAGAUGUUCUGGGCCGCACGCGUGCUACACUGAGUAAUUCAAUGGGUAAGGGAACGCUAGAGCAUUACCUAAUCUUGAAAUUUGCUCGUGAUGGGGAUCGACGGUUGCAAUUUUCCGUCGUGAACGAGGAAUACCUUGUAGGCGCAUGUCAUCAUCAUGCGCCGAAUACGUCCCUGCCCUUUGUACACACCGCCCGUCGCUCCUACCGAUUGAGUGAUCCGGUGAGGCUCUGGGACCUGGACGGAAAGAGCGUUUCGCUUGUUCUGUUUGGGAAACUUGGUCGAACCUUAUCAUUUAGAGGAAGGAGAAGUCGCAACA